GAUGAACGCUAGCUACAGGCUUAACACAUGCAAGUCGAGGGGAAACGACAUCGAAAGCUUGCUUUUGAUGGGCGUCGACCGGCGCACGGGUGAGUAACGCGUAUCCAACCUGCCCAUCACUUGGGAAUAACCUUGCGAAAGUAAGACUAAUACCCAAUGAUAUCCCACGAAGGCAUCGGAAUGGGAUUAAAGAUUUAUCGGUGAUGGAUGGGGAUGCGUCUGAUUAGCUUGUUGGCGGGGUAACGGCCCACCAAGGCAACGAUCAGUAGGGGUUCUGAGAGGAAGGGCCCCCACAUAGGAACUGAGACACGCUCCAAACACCUACGCGAGGCAGCAGAGAGGGAUAUUGUUGAAUGUGCGAGAGCCUGAACCAGCGAAGUAUCGUGCAGAAGGUCAGCCCUAUGUGUGGUAAACUGCGUUUAUAAGGGGAUAAAGUGUGUCUCUUGAGACUUUUUGCAUGUACCUUAUGAAUAAGGACCGGCUAAUUCCGUG
This 492-nucleotide ribosomal RNA is filed under the name uncultured bacterium. RNAcentral describes it as "partial 16S ribosomal RNA". It matches the Rfam family "Bacterial small subunit ribosomal RNA", at positions 28 to 507 of the family's 1533-position model. The record is from RNAcentral.